AUUACAUAAAAAUAUUAAUUUUGUGAAAUGUAAGAUGUCAAAUGACAAAUGUCUGCAAAAUGUUUAGUUUAAGUCUUUGUGCACGUCUCAGAUAAGCAGUUCAGUUCAACAGGUUGAUAAGCUGACUUCCCACAGGCAUGUGGCAGAGCACACCUGCAGAUGAGCUGGCCUUAUCUGUAGGAAAAGUUGUUGCUUGUGAUAUCCUGACCUAAUGAUAAGAGAGAAUUAUUUAGAAAACGAAACCAUUUUUCUAGGAAGAUGAAUUUCAUCUCAGAAAUACUUCAGUUCUACCCUAGACUGUAUAACUUGUAUAGCUCUACAGCUUUUGCACAUUUGCAGAUUUUGGGGCUAGGAUAGGUUUUAGUGACUCUUCAUAAGUCCAUGCCUGUGAUCCUCUAAGAAUUUGCUAUUUUAUAUUUAGAUGUUUAAAGUGCAAUGGCUUUAUAGUUUGAAAAAUAUCGAUGGGGAGAAAAAGACAAUAAAAACAAGAGAAUAGAAUUGCUGUAGUAAAUAAGACAUAAGAACACAAGGAGAUGACAGGAUAAAGCAGAACAAUAAAAGGUGGUUUUGUCACUCAUAGCCUGUAGUCCUGAAUAUGCAAACCUGAGCAUGGUGGGGCCUAAUUUAUAAUUCUGAUAAUUCAUUUUAUUAAAUAUAACCAUUUCAGAUGUUGCUGCUUCAGAGUCAAUCUUAUGAGAGAGUGAAAAGUGUCGGUUUUCUAAGAUAUAAUAAGCUAAGUUUAAAAAAGACAUGGAACCAUUUCAAACUUUCCUCCUAAUAUCUUUGAAAUUGUAGAGAUGCACUAUUCUUCCAUCUAAUUUUUAAACAGAGAAAAAGAAAACAAAUAAACAAAACCCCCCAUGCAAUUAUUCAUUUAAAUAUUGAUUUCUUAUUACUUUUUGAGGUUUUUUCCAUGUCUCAGGACACAUUCAACUCAUCAGUAAAAAUCUGUCAGUGUGGUGCAAAACAGUUCUUGGAUUCUUAAUUUGAUAGAAAUUUGAUGAAAAUACUUUUUUUUGAAAAAUACUUUAAAGAAAAGAUCUAGAAAAGGAGGUAAUCCUUCUUCCAUUGAAUAUGUUUCUGUAUUUCCAGGAAAGCUGACAAUCAUGAGGGUUCAAAAUUUGUCUGAACACUUCCCUCCAAGUGUGGCUGUCCUGUCACUAACAUUACAAAAUGUGGCAAUUGCAAAAAUUGUAUUAUAAAGUUACAAAAAUUUUCUCUUCAGUUCUCAAAUAUGGAAUUAAAUGUAAUCUAACCCCAUGAUCACAGUUCCUUUUUACUUGUCAGCACUAAGUUGUUGCCAAUAAAAUAAUAGUCAUCAGCAUAAUCUGAUGAAAACUUCAGAGGUGACCUCCUAGUAAAUAUUUUUCAUCUUAGAAAGUAUGCUGACUGUAUAGCCUCUUGUAUCAGAAACUCAAAGUUAUCACUGCUGCUAUUCAGAUUAUGAAAUCAAUGUGCCAGAAGCACACUAUCCAUUACUCAGAGAUGGUAAUAGUUUUACAUGGUGCUUAGAAUUUAUUCAGUUACUUCUCUUUGUAAUACUGUAGGUUUUACAUCUUAGUGGGUGUGGACAUCUCACUGCCCAUUAAACUUCUUUUGCAUCAGUCUUGAAUACGGAGCCCACAGAUCUGGCUUUCUUGGAAUGUGAAGAGCCUGGGAGUCCUGAGAUUUUUCUUUCUGAGGUUCUUCUGAAUUUCUUCUGCAACAGAGAAGCAAUAACCUACCAAAUAUGGUUAAGAAUAUUCUGAAGGAGAUGGAUCUAUUAGUGCUUUCCCUAUUCCAGAUGGAGAAACUGAAAAGGUGAAGAGGCUUCCUAAGGCCACCGAGUAAGGACUCCUGCUGGAGAGCCACUGGUCUUGUCAGCUCUCUUAAAGUUCAUCCAUGCAGACAUGAAUUUCCCUCCUUCUCAAAGAAAGAAAGGAUUGGUAAAAACCUGCCCACAGAAGAUGUUCAGAGAUCUGACAGGAAGCAAUGCUCUGGAAACCGUAUUCCUAUGUUGUGCACUGAUGAAAUGAUUUAAAGAGGACAUCCAGUCACAGCUUUGUUUAUGUUAAGAAGGCAUAAACCAAUAAAAGAGUAGAAAUUCUUGGGUUUUGCAACAAUUUAUAUUUGUAACUUGUCUCAAAAAAUUAUGAUUUAACUAGAUUCUGGUAAAAAAAUUAUUUUUUCUGUGAAGGUCUUGAAAAACCUGAACACUUUGAAGUUACUUUUUAUAGCCUAGAACUAUUUCAGGCAUUUUCUUAUGUCUCUAGUUUCUUCUGUUUUCAUAGAGAAAGGGUUUCUGAUUUUCAUUCAGCUUAUACCAUGCUUCUUUCUUGAUUCCAUUACCCUUCUUCAGUUGCAUGAACAAGAGCAAGGCAUCCCUACAGUAUGCCAAUAGAGGAAACCAAUACUAUGGGGAUAUUUGACUAGUGAAGAAGUAUUUCCAUUUCUCACCUUGCUUUCUAAGCAGUGUUGCUGCAUGCACAGGAUCUACAAAGAUAUCACAAGAAGGAGCUGUGAUAUUUUUACAACAAUAAUAAGUCACUGAAGUCUAUGUCAGAAAAUGCAGAAUUGCCUACUUUUUUUUGACCUAAAAUAACAAAAGCAUAAGAUUACAUGUUUCUAAACUGAAAUGUCUGUCUGUAAAUCCUAGUUUGGGAUUCAGGCAAUUACCUUGCUAAAGGACAUUUGAAAACUGUGUGUGAAGAUCAAAAUAUCAAUGCUUAAGGUUCUUGGACAUUAUCACAUCUCAUUAAAACAUGUCCAUCUGUGAAAGAUGAUAUUUGUGUAAUGAAUCAGCUGCCCAAACAGAUGUCUAGAGCCAUCUGAGAAAGAAGUGAAAAAUUUUAGUGUUUGAGGUUACAUUGGACAUGCACAUUAUCAGUUAUGAUGUAGUGCAAAUCAAAAUUGUGUUAAUGUAAAACUGAAGUGUAGUAAGAUGAAAUGGAAUAUAAAUAUUGCUUAAUGCUUUCUUGAAAUACUAAAAUUCAGUUCUCUUUCCAUCACUGUGAAAUACAUUUUGCUCAGUACAUGAUCAUUCUAAAUUUCUUUUCAGUAGAUAACCUUCCUUAUCAUAAUGUUAAUGAAUGAAUCUUGUUUGAAUUUCAAAAUGCAGUAGUUUUAAAAAUAGCAUUUGGACAUAUUAUGAAAAGGAUGUAAAUGUAUUUUUUUUAAAGUUCAGAAGGCCUAGAAAUAUCACUUGCUGUUUAAAGUACAGUAUUAUUGCUCAUAAAAGACUGAUUGCCCUUAGUGUUCUAAUUAAAAUGGAAAUUUACUGUCCAAACUACCUUUCAACAAUAAUAAACUGAUUUAAAACCUAAUUUAAAGAAAAAUCUCAAGGAUAAACAUCUUAUUUUCUAUAUGAAAAACAAUAUACAAGAUCAAUACACUAUUUCAUUAUUGCCAAUAAAAUAUAUUUUUGAAAAUACACUCAGUUUAACAUGUGCAUAAAGAAUGCUUUACAGACCAAUACUAUUACUACUACAACUUGUCUUCAAAUUGUUUACUACAUAAAGAUUAUAAUUUGCAUUCUGAUCUUACAUCAUUAUAUUAUCAUUGAAACUAAUUUAUUGGCCAAAAAAACCCCAAACAAAUAGUGAAUAAAAAAAUGGCAAAGUUUGGAUUCUUACCUUCUGAAUUAAGGUCCUAACAGGAGUUCUGUAAAACGACAGAGAAACACUUGAGAAGAGAGUCAGCAGGAAGGGCAACCCAGGUCUUUGGUGAGCUAUUUCUCUUUCUUAAAUGCUUAUCUUAAGUGACUACAACUGGGUUGUAAAACAAACAAACAAACAAACAAACAAAACCAGAAGACCAGAGAAACAAAGACAUGUAUGCUCCUCCUUUGAACAGAAGAAUACAUUCAGGAAAGCAGAACUAUUCAUGAUUCAGUUUGAGGAUCCAUGAAGCUUCUGGAAAGUCAAGCUGUAUUUACAAGACCCUCUCCUUGCUUGUCAGCAUUUUCCAGGAAUAUAUUAGGUACAAUUGACAUAUAUUAUUCCAGGUGUCAGAAGUCUCUAAAGGUAAAAAAUUUGAAAUAGUUGUGAUCUUGAUUCUAAACUUCACUUGCAAUUUCUUUACACUAUUCUAUUUCUUAUGGUUACUCAUAACCAGUCUUUAUCAAGUCAUAUCUGCUGGAAAGAGGAAGAAUUUUUAAAUGAAAAUAAAUCAGUGAGCUAUUUCUGUGUCUUUUAUAUCUGACUCUUCUCUUGAUUAAUUAAUCCUCUCCUCACUCACUUAAAUAC
This is a long non-coding RNA of Taeniopygia guttata (zebra finch), 4223 nucleotides long. RefSeq lists it as uncharacterized. The record is from RefSeq and is a predicted model, not a curated record. NCBI's taxonomy places the organism in Eukaryota, Metazoa, Chordata, Aves, Passeriformes, Estrildidae.